This 507-nucleotide ribosomal RNA is filed under the name uncultured Glomeraceae. RNAcentral describes it as "SSU rRNA". It matches the Rfam family "Eukaryotic small subunit ribosomal RNA", at positions 569 to 1082 of the family's 1831-position model. Lineage: Eukaryota; Fungi; Glomeromycota; Glomeromycetes; Glomerales; Glomeraceae. The record is from RNAcentral.
AGCAGCCGCGGUAAUUCCAGCUCCAAUAGCGUAUAUUAAAGUUGUUGCAGUUAAAAAGCUCGUAGUUGAAUUUCGGAAUCAAUAUACCGGUCGUGCCUUGGUACGUACUGGUAUCAUUGGUUUCUCCUUUCUGACGAACCAUGAUGUCAUUAAUUUGGUGUUAUGGGAAGUUAGGACUGUUACUUUGAAAAAUUAGAGUGUUUAAAGCAGGUUUUAGCUUGAAUACAUUAGCAUGGAAUAAUGAAAUAGGACGUUCGAACCUAUUUUGUUGGUUUCUAGGAUCAACGUAAUGAUUAAUAGGGAUAGUUGGGGGCAUUAGUAUUCAAUUGUCAGAGGUGAAAUUCUUGGAUUUAUUGAAGACUAACUACUGCGAAAGCAUUUGCCAAGGAUGUUUUCAUUAAUCAAGAACGAAAGUUAGGGGAUCGAAGACGAUCAGAUACCGUCGUAGUCUUAACCAUAAAUUAUGCCGACUAGGGAUCGGAUGAUGUUAAUUUUUUAAUGUACUCA